UAAAAAAUUUGGCGGUAUUUUAGUCUAUUCAGAGGAACCUGUUUUGUAAUCGAUAAUCCACGAUGGACCUUACUUAAGUUUGUAAUCAGUUUAUAUACCGUCGUUAUUAGAAUAUUUUAUAAGAAAGUUAAUUUUCAAGAUUUUUAAAAAGAAAAUAUAUCAGAUCAAGGUGUAGCUUAUGUUUAAGUAUAAAUGGGUUACAAUAAAAUUAUUUAGACGAAUUUAAGUUUGAAAUAUUUAUUGAAGGUGGAUUUGAUAGUAAAAUUAUAUAGAUAAAUGAUUUGAUUUUAGCUCUAAAAUAUGCACACAUCGCCCGUCACUCUUACUAUUAAGGUAAGAUAAGUCGUAACAUAGUAGAUGUACUGGAAAGUGUACCUAGAAUGCAAUUUAAAGCUUAUUAAGUAAAGCAUUUCAUUUCCAUUGAAAAGAUUUUUGUGCAAAUCAAUAUAAAUUGAUUAAAUUUUAUUUAUUAAUUUUUUUUUUAUGUUAAUAAAAUAUUAAAAAUAAUUAUAAAAUUAUUUGUUUGAGUAUUUUUUAUAGAAAAAAUAAUAUUAAUUAUAGUUAAAUAGUAUUGUGAAAGAAAAUUGAAAUAAUUUGAAAAAUUAUUAUUU
Molecule: ribosomal RNA, 611 nt
Filed under: Peckiamyia minutipenis
Lineage: Eukaryota; Metazoa; Arthropoda; Insecta; Diptera; Sarcophagidae
Description: partial 12S ribosomal RNA
Rfam family: Microsporidia small subunit ribosomal RNA (bases 1-386)
Source: RNAcentral